UUACUUCUUUGAAAACGAGGAGGUGCGGGUCCCCGAGCGCCCGGUGCGGCGGCCGCAGCGCUGGCCAGGCCUGCGGGCCUUAGCGCGCCACCGGGCAGCACCCGCACGGCCGCAAACCCCUCGCCUCGGAACGGCAACAUGAGGAACAGAAGCCCAGUACACAGCCCAACUUUUUUUUUUUUUUUUCCCCCUAAAUAAACGCAGGAAGGUUUUCUCCUUGGAGAUGUGAAAGGUGAAGCCAAGAACAGCAUUACUGACUCACAGAUGGAUGAUGUUGAAGUCGUUUAUACAAUCGUUUAAUUCUGAUCAUAGUGUACAGAAUAUACAUCUUGAACUGAUGAACCCAGAGUAAUCUUACCUCUCUUUCCAGAUAUACAGAAGCAUAUUCCAUGCUACCAGCUGUUCAGGUAAGAAUCUCAAGUAAACAGAUAUUAAAAAAGUUAAAAUUAAUCCUAAACUUGAACUCCUCAAGAUUAAAUUUACAUUACUGAGAAAGCCACCCAGCUGUAACUACAGUGGCCAUAUCAACCCCUUGCAAUUGCAGACGCUCGAUGCUUUAUGUUGUGGCUGGUUUGGUUCUCUCCUGCUCUGGUGCUUGUCUGUGCAUACAGAGAUAAGGCAUACUGCACCUUCUGGUGAGCUAUGAUACCAUAUAAACUACAGCAUACUGAAAAAAACCCCAUUGCUUUUCCAAAAGCAUUCUUCCUAAACCCUCACCCUCAAAAAAAGAAAA
This is a long non-coding RNA of Athene cunicularia (burrowing owl), 733 nucleotides long. RefSeq lists it as uncharacterized. Lineage: Eukaryota; Metazoa; Chordata; Aves; Strigiformes; Strigidae. The transcript has 3 exons. The record is from RefSeq and is a predicted model, not a curated record.